This 292-nucleotide ribosomal RNA is filed under the name uncultured bacterium. RNAcentral's name for it is "partial 16S ribosomal RNA". It matches the Rfam family "Bacterial small subunit ribosomal RNA", at positions 505 to 796 of the family's 1533-position model. The record is from RNAcentral.
GUGACAGCAGCCGCGGUAAUACGUAGGGUGCGAGCGUUGUUCGGAAUUACUGGGCGUAAAGCGCGUGUAGGCGGCUCGCUAAGUCUGGUGUGAAAUCCCUGAGCUCAACUCAGGAAUUGCAUUGGAAACUGGCGAGCUUGAGUCCAGAAGAGGGUGGUGGAAUUCCUGGUGUAGAGGUGAAAUUCGUAGAUAUCAGGAGGAACACCGGUGGCGAAGGCGGCCACCUGGGCUGGUACUGACGCUGAGACGCGAAAGCGUGGGGAGCAAACAGGAUUAGAAACCCCCGUAGUCC